RNAcentral lists this unclassified non-coding RNA (972 nucleotides) under Amphimedon queenslandica. RNAcentral describes it as "uncharacterized LOC109580659, transcript variant X3". Lineage: Eukaryota; Metazoa; Porifera; Demospongiae; Haplosclerida; Niphatidae. The record is from RNAcentral.
GUGGGUUUCGAAAAAAACGCGAAAUCCACGAAAAUUUUGGGCCACGAAAAUUUUCCGCUAUACGGUAGUUUGUAAUCAUUUCUGGGAUGAGCAAGGUGCUAGUGUUGUCUGUAACAUGUUAGGAUAUUCUUCUUAUGGUGAGUGGAUUUUUAAUCUUCUGAAGAUUAUAAUGAGCAUACAGUGGAUCAAGAUAUUCAUCCCAUUUUCUUCAUUCAUUUAAUGAAGUAUUACUGGUUACUGAUGUAUCCUGUUCUCCAACUAAUGAAAGGAUUCAAGAUUGUUUAAUUACUACACGCCACCUUCAUCCUGUGGUGUCUUGAAUGUUUUAAUUGUUAGAUGUCAAACUGGUAUAGAGCUCAGGAUAUGGGUGAAUCAACGAGUGUAUUUGCAAUGAAGAGCAACAAUGAUUGAGAAGGCUGUGAAGUCAUGUAGCAGAACUGUCCUCAACAAAAGGCUCCUAGUUGAAUAAUAGAGCGACAGUAUUUUCUAAAAGUUAUUUUGGACAUAAAUCAUCAAGCACUUAUACACUGAGUAAUGUGUACUGUUGUGUGAUAACAACUUCACUGUUGGACAGCUAUAAUUCUCUCUCAUCUUUUAUGUUUUGUGGAGCUGAAAGCAUGGGCGGUAUAGCUAGAUUGAUGUGAUUCUGGUAAUACAUGCAAAGCUGAGUGGUUCUGAUACUGAAUCUCUGGUUGUGUUAAAGUUGGUAUAGAAUCAGUUUGGACAUCACUCUGUGGCCAGAGCUGGGAUUUGAAGGAUGCACAAGUAGGUUGUAGAGAUUUAGGAUACUAUCCCUUUGGUGCAGUGCCAACAUAAUAUGGUUGCUAAAUGAGGGACAAUACUGUAUCAACUGUACUGGCUAUGAGAAAGCUUUAAUGAACUGCUUACACAGUAAUCCAGUACUCUCAUAAUGAUGCUGGGCUUAUUUGCCAACGUAAGAAAUAUGGAAAUAUUUGAAAUGAAUAUGGUUGA